Molecule: ribosomal RNA, 205 nt
Filed under: Salinivibrio costicola subsp. alcaliphilus
Lineage: Bacteria; Pseudomonadati; Pseudomonadota; Gammaproteobacteria; Vibrionales; Vibrionaceae
Description: partial 23S ribosomal RNA
Rfam family: Bacterial large subunit ribosomal RNA
Source: RNAcentral
ACCGAUAGUGAACCAGUACCGUGAGGGAAAGGCGAAAAGAACCCCUGUGAGGGGAGUGAAAUAGAACCUGAAACCGUCUACGUACAAGCAGUGGGAGCCUCCUUUGUGGGGUGACCGCGUACCUUUUGUAUAAUGGGUCAGCGACUUAAUGUUAGUAGCAAGGUUAACCGCAUAGGGGAGCCGUAGGGAAACCGAGUCUUAACUG